AUUGAACGCUGGCGGCAGGCCUAACACAUGCAAGUCGAGCGGAUGAAGGGAGCUUGCUCCUGGAUUCCGCGGCGGACGGGUGAGUAAUGCCUAGGAAUCUGCCUGGUAGUGGGGUAUAACGUCCGGAAACGGGCGCUAAUACCGCAUACGUCCUGCGGGAGAAAGUGGGGGAUCUUCGGACCUCACGCUAUCAGAUGAGCCUAGGUGGGAUUAGCUAGUUGGUGGGGUAAUGGCCUACCAAGGGGACGAUCCGCAACUGGUCUGAGAGGAUGAUCAGUCACCCUGGAAGGGGGACACGGUCCAGGCUCCUACGGGAGGCAGCAGUGGGGAAUAUUGGACAAUGGGCGAAAGCCUGACCCAGCCAGGCGGCGUGUGAGAAGAAGGUCUUCGGAUUGUAAAGCACUUUAAGUUGGGAGGAAGGGCAGUAAGUUAAUACCUUGCGGUUUUGACGUUACCAACAGAAUAAGCACCGGCUAACUACGUG
Molecule: ribosomal RNA, 484 nt
Filed under: uncultured bacterium
Lineage: Bacteria
Description: partial 16S ribosomal RNA
Rfam family: Bacterial small subunit ribosomal RNA
Source: RNAcentral